CCUACGGGAGGCAGCAGUGGGGAAUAUUGGGCAAUGGGCGCAAGCCUGACCCAGCAACGCCGCGUGAAGGAAGAAGGCUUUCGGGUUGUAAACUUCUUUUCUCAGGGACGAAGCAAGUGACGGUACCUGAGGAAUACGCCCCUGCUAACUACGUGCCAGCAGCCGCGGUAAUCCGUAGGUGGCAAGCGUUAUCUGGAUUUACUGGGUGUAAAGGGCGUGUAGGCGGGACUGCAAGUCAGAUGUGAAAACCACGGGCUCAACCUGUGGCCUGCAUUUGAAACUGUAGUUCUUGAGGACUGGAGAGGCAGACGGAAUUCCUAGUGGAGCGGUGAAAUGCGUAGAUAUUAGGAGGAACACCAGUGGCGAAGGCGGUCUGCUGGACAGCAACUGACGCUGAGGCGCGAAAGCGUGGGGAGCAAACAGGAUUAGAUACCCUUGUAGUC
This 443-nucleotide ribosomal RNA is filed under the name uncultured bacterium. RNAcentral's name for it is "partial 16S ribosomal RNA". It matches the Rfam family "Bacterial small subunit ribosomal RNA", at positions 338 to 795 of the family's 1533-position model. The record is from RNAcentral.